CAAUAUUCAGCUUAAAGAAUUUUAAGCUGAGUGUUGGCACUGAGGAGGGACUAAACAUAGUGUCCGAGAGCGUUGUGCCAAAGUGGAGUUCUCUUUGCUUGUAGUGCUAUGGUAUUCUUCUUUACAGUUAAUCAAGAACAAAGCAAAGGUAUUUUCUUUCUAUUUACCUCAUAGGGAAAUAUAUUUUCAAUAUUCAUCAAAUUAUGUUGAUAUUUUAUAGUAUUGUAUAAUUUUAUUAAUUAUAAACAUUAUUUAUAUUAGCAUGGUAAUAUCAUAUAUAAAUCAAAUUAAUUUUGCAUAAAAAUGGGUGAUUUGUUAUAUAAAAUUGAAUCAUUGUUUGCUCAGAGUUUGACAAAUACUGCAAAUGUAUUUUUUGCCUUUAGACUUGGGCAAGGGGACAUUUGUCCCAGGUCUCUCAGUUCAAAAAAAAACUUAUUUUAAUAGGAGAUAAAAAUAAAAUAUUCAGAAUAAAAAUCAAACAAAAUAAUUGUUAAGAAUUAUUUGAAAUGAAUAUCCUGUAAUAAAAUUUUCUCUUUUGAUCAGUGUUGUUUUUUUUUAUAACUGCUUAAUUUUAGAAAUGUUUUUGAAUUUUUAUUAGCUAUCAGAUAAUGUAAAAAAUUAAUAUGAUAAACCUUAAUAAUUACUGAUAAUGUUAAAUCUUUCCAAAAUUAAAGAAUUUGUAAAACAGUACAAUCAUUUAUCCAAAUAUAUUAAAAUAAAGUCAGUUUGGACCAGUGGUGAGCUAUAAAAAUUUUAACAAAGAACUUGCACUUUACCUUAUAAAAAUAAAAUAUCAAAUUCUAAUUAAAUGUUUUACUUUUGACAAAAACAGAAAAUGCAAAUAAUUGUACAUGCAUAAGAAAACAUUUUUAAAAUAAAAAAAAAUCAUUAAAAUUAAAAAGAAUGAUGAAUAAAUUUAAUUAUGGUACAGUUUAUGUCAGAAACUGCAACACAUUAUUUUCUUCUUCUUUCAUGUCAGUUGAUCUUCUAGGAGGUUCUAAAGCUGAGAGAUGAUGUUCCAAAAAAGUUUUCACAAAAGGUUUAGGAUUAAAUUCUUUUAAAUCUCUUUUCUUUAAAUUUUAAGUUAUCUACAGUGCAUUUGGCCAAACUUAAAUGAAACCAGAUAAGACUCUAAUUUUCACCCUUCACACAUGUCAAAAAUACUUUUGCAUGCUAAGUCCAUACUCAUCUACCCUGCUUCAGAGGGCAUUAUCACUAGAUUGCCAUUAUUCGAGAUAUACAUUCAAAUACACAAAUAUGAGGAAUAGAAAGACUAACAUAAAUCAAAGUAUGAUUAUCACACAUAAGAUAUAUUUUUCUUGGAAUAAAUAAACAAGCAAACAAAAAGAACAAGGGGCUUGCAAAUUAAAAACAAAUUUAACAAAGGAC
This 1389-nucleotide long non-coding RNA is filed under the name Androctonus crassicauda. The record is from RNAcentral. Lineage: Eukaryota; Metazoa; Arthropoda; Arachnida; Scorpiones; Buthidae.